This is a microRNA precursor of Petromyzon marinus (sea lamprey), 77 nucleotides long. The record is from Ensembl. Lineage: Eukaryota; Metazoa; Chordata; Hyperoartia; Petromyzontiformes; Petromyzontidae.
UUGUUCCCGAUUUGAUUGUUGCUCAGAAAGCCGUGAAUUGAACGUCGACUUUCGGGCAUCAAUCAAAACGGGAGGCG